UGGGUGAUCUGUGCUUGCACUCUGGGAUAAGCCUGGGAAACUGGGUCUAAUACCGGAUAUGACCACUGAUCGCAUGGUUGGUGGUGGAAAGAUUUAUCGGUGUGAGAUGGGCCCGCGGCCUAUCAGCUUGUUGGUGGGGUAAUGGCCUACCAAGGCGACGACGGGUAGCCGGCCUGAGAGGGCGACCGGCCACACUGGGACUGAGACACGGCCCAGACUCCUACGGGAGGCAGCAGUGGGGAAUAUUGCACAAUGGGCGAAAGCCUGAUGCAGCGACGCCGCGUGAGGGAUGACGGCCUUCGGGUUGUAAACCUCUUUCGACAGGGACGAAGCGAGAGUGACGGUACCUGUAGAAGAAGCACCGGCCAACUACGUGCCAGCAGCCGCGGUAAUACGUAGGGUGCGAGCGUUGUCCGGAAUUACUGGGCGUAAAGAGCUUGUAGGCGGUUCGUCGCGUCGAUCGUGAAAACUUGCAGCUCAACUGUGAGCUUGCGGUCGAUACGGGCGGACUAGAGUACUGCAGGGGAGACUGGAAUUCCUGGUGUAGCGGUGAAAUGCGCAGAUAUCAGGAGGAACACCGGUGGCGAAGGCGGGUCUCUGGGCAGUAACUGACGCUGAGAAGCGAAAGCGUGGGUAGCGAACAGGAUUAGAUACCCUGGUAGUCCACGCCGUAAACGGUGGGCGCUAGGUGUGGGUUUCCUUCCACGGGAUCCGUGCCGUA
RNAcentral lists this ribosomal RNA (721 nucleotides) under Nocardia vermiculata. RNAcentral's name for it is "bacterial SSU rRNA". It matches the Rfam family "Bacterial small subunit ribosomal RNA", at positions 118 to 850 of the family's 1533-position model. The record is from RNAcentral. Lineage: Bacteria; Bacillati; Actinomycetota; Actinomycetes; Mycobacteriales; Nocardiaceae.